RNAcentral lists this long non-coding RNA (844 nucleotides) under Homo sapiens (human). RNAcentral describes it as "HSALNT0241274". The record is from RNAcentral. Lineage: Eukaryota; Metazoa; Chordata; Mammalia; Primates; Hominidae.
CUCAGAGGUUGAUGAGGGGAGUUUGUUCAGGGGCCUCUCUUCCCAGCUCCAUCUUCUGAGGAGGAAAGAGUGGGAUUCAGCUGGCAGAGCCCAAGUACCCAGGUCACAGGCAGAUUUUCUUAUGCCUCUCUCACCAGAGAACCCUGAGCCUUGUGUCUGGGGUUCCAGGGACCUGCCCGGUCCUGGGGGUCCUCCCUACCCAUUCUGAUCGGCAGCUGCCUGCUGCCCAUUCCAAAUUCAGUUCCAGGGACACAGCUCCGAAAAGGCCCCACGGGAGGGAGGGAGAGACCUAAGGGGAGGGGCUAUCUCCCCUCAGCCCAGCCUGCGGCUCCCAGCUGCAUGUAUAAGUGAUGAGGCUCCACAGCCCCAACAGGAACCAAUAUAAUGGCAGGUGCGCCGGGUCAGCUGGAGAGACAGAUAGCAGGACGCGGGAGUGACAGGCGGUGCAAUUAUGCUGAGCCUCCUGCAAAGGCGGCAGAGAAGGCCCCGCCUGGCCAGCAUGGCCCGCAGCCUCCCCACUCCCUCCCACAGGCCUUCCAGCCCCACCAGCCCCCAGCCCCACUCCAAGCAGGCACCCACAAAUGGCUGGACAUCAAGAGGAGCAUGUCAGAGGAGGAGCACGCGGGCUGCUGGAUGUCGAGAGGAAUGUACCGAUAGUCCCUGGCAUGAUGGCAGGCCAUCGACCAUCGACCAGCUGAACUAGCAGAGUUUGGCUGAGGCAGAGUUUGGCUGGGAAGUCAGAGGAGAGUGGCCCAACUGCAGGGGAAAACCAUCCCCCUUCUGGCUCCCCCAUCUGCUGAGGGCUACUUCCACUCAAUAAAACCUUGCACUCAUUCUCCAAACC